Molecule: long non-coding RNA, 575 nt
Filed under: Marmota monax (woodchuck)
Lineage: Eukaryota; Metazoa; Chordata; Mammalia; Rodentia; Sciuridae
Source: RNAcentral
UUCCAUAUGAUACAGUAUUUUUUUUUUCUGAAUAAAAGACUGAAGACAGGGAGCUAGAUAAAUGGCUUCAUAGUGCUGUUAAGUAUUUGUAUUUAACAGUCUCUGUGUGACAGAUAAAAAUAGGAUGGAAACGAAUGAAACACCUGUCUAGGGGCAGCAAUUGACACUCUGCGGAGAGGGUAUUCCCUGCAAGUUCCCGGCUUGCCUGUGAUGGGGGAUGAGGUUUUUAGGGAGGUGGUAUACAGGGCGAUUUUUGGUGCCUUACUUUAUCUUAAUUUUUGCCAAUGUGAAAAUUAAGGAUAAAUCAGAGUUACAGCAGGGAUUUGACAAACAGGAAUAAAAAACAAAAACACAGGGUGGAUACAUAUGGUUUGGAAACUGUUAACUUUGAACUAUUGCGUUCAGCUUUUGAUUCGACACCUCUAUUCUUCCUUUAUUUUUGAUGCCCGGUUGCUUUGGGUUUGGCAUUUUUGGAUAGGGAUGGAGGACACAAUAGAGAGAGCUGUUAGCAACCAGCACUAGCUGCUUGAGCUUUUCUAUGGCAACGGUGUGUUGCUGGGGUCUGGGUUUUCUGG